This 793-nucleotide ribosomal RNA is filed under the name uncultured bacterium. Its description in RNAcentral is "bacterial SSU rRNA". It matches the Rfam family "Bacterial small subunit ribosomal RNA", at positions 8 to 796 of the family's 1533-position model. The record is from RNAcentral.
AGAGUUUGAUCCUGGCUCAGGAUGAACGCUAGCGGCAGGCUUAAUACAUGCAAGUCGAGGGGCAGCGGGGGUAGCAAUACCUGCCGGCGACCGGCAAACGGGUGCGGAACACGUACACAACCUUCCUUUUGGUGGGGGAUAGCCCAGAGAAAUUUGGAUUAAUACCCCGUAGUAUAAUGACGAGGCAUCUUGUUAUUAUUAAAGAUUUAUUGCCAGGAGAUGGGUGUGCGUCUGAUUAGGUAGUUGGUUGAGGUAACGGCUCACCAAGCCUGCGAUCAGUAACUGGUGUGAGAGCACGACCAGUCACACGGGCACUGAGACACGGGCCCGACUCCUACGGGAGGCAGCAGUAAGGAAUAUUGGUCAAUGGACGCAAGUCUGAACCAGCCAUGCCGCGUGGAGGAUGAAGGUCCUCUGGAUUGUAAACUUCUUUUAUCUGGGAAGAAAUGCAUUUUUUCCAAAGUGUUUGACGGUACCAGAUGAAUAAGCACCGGCUAACUCCGUGCCAGCAGCCGCGGUAAUACGGAGGGUGCAAGCGUUAUCCGGAUUCACUGGGUUUAAAGGGUGCGUAGGUGGGCAGUUAAGUCAGUGGUGAAAUCUCCGGGCUUAACCCGGAAACUGCCAUUGAUACUAUCUGUCUUGAAUGUCGUGGAGGUAAGCGGAAUAUGUCUGUAGCGGUGAAAUGCUUAGAUAUGACAUAGAACACCAAUUGCGAAGGCAGCUUACUACACGGAUAUUGACACUGAGGCACGAAAGCGUGGGGAUCAAACAGGAUUAGAUACCCUAGUAGUCC